This 542-nucleotide ribosomal RNA is filed under the name Salmonella enterica subsp. enterica serovar Agbeni. RNAcentral describes it as "bacterial SSU rRNA". It matches the Rfam family "Bacterial small subunit ribosomal RNA", at positions 1 to 532 of the family's 1533-position model. Lineage: Bacteria; Pseudomonadati; Pseudomonadota; Gammaproteobacteria; Enterobacterales; Enterobacteriaceae. The record is from RNAcentral.
AAAUUGAAGAGUUUGAUCAUGGCUCAGAUUGAACGCUGGCGGCAGGCCUAACACAUGCAAGUCGAACGGUAACAGGAAGCAGCUUGCUGCUUCGCUGACGAGUGGCGGACGGGUGAGUAAUGUCUGGGAAACUGCCUGAUGGAGGGGGAUAACUACUGGAAACGGUGGCUAAUACCGCAUAACGUCGCAAGACCAAAGAGGGGGACCUUCGGGCCUCUUGCCAUCAGAUGUGCCCAGAUGGGAUUAGCUAGUUGGUGAGGUAACGGCUCACCAAGGCGACGAUCCCUAGCUGGUCUGAGAGGAUGACCAGCCACACUGGAACUGAGACACGGUCCAGACUCCUACGGGAGGCAGCAGUGGGGAAUAUUGCACAAUGGGCGCAAGCCUGAUGCAGCCAUGCCGCGUGUAUGAAGAAGGCCUUCGGGUUGUAAAGUACUUUCAGCGGGGAGGAAGGUGUUGUGGUUAAUAACCGCAGCAAUUGACGUUACCCGCAGAAGAAGCACCGGCUAACUCCGUGCCAGCAGCCGCGGUAAUACGGAGGG